Molecule: ribosomal RNA, 473 nt
Filed under: uncultured bacterium
Lineage: Bacteria
Description: bacterial SSU rRNA
Rfam family: Bacterial small subunit ribosomal RNA
Source: RNAcentral
UGCAGUCGAGGGGUAACAUGAGAGCUUGCUCUUGAUGACGACCGGCGCACGGGUGCGUAACGCGUAUGCAACCUACCCACAACUGGAGCAUAGCCCGGAGAAAUCCGGAUUAAUACUCCAUAAUGCAGGGGUACCUCAUGGUACUAUUUGCUAAAGAUUUAUCGGCUGUGGAUGGGCAUGCGUCUGAUUAGUUUGUUGGUGAGGUAACGGCUCACCAAGACCACGAUCAGUAGGGGGUCUGAGAGGAUGAUCCCCCACACUGGCACUGAGAUACGGGCCAGACUCCUACGGGAGGCAGCAGUAGGGAAUAUUGGGCAAUGGGCGAAAGCCUGACCCAGCCAUGCCGCGUGAAGGAUGAAGGCCUUCUGGGUUGUAAACUUCUUUUAUAUAGGAAGAAAAAGGUCAUGCGUGACCAAUUGACGGUACUAUAUGAAUAAGCACCGGCUAACUCCGUGCCAGCAGCCGCGGUAAUA